CACACACACACACACACACACACAAGGAAAUAUGGUUACUACAUGUGUUGAAUUCUGAAAUGAGUUUGUAAUAUGAGGUGACAACUAAAUGACGAUUAUUUGAUGUGUUUAUAUAUCAUUUGCUCCUUGUUGCAGUAAAGUUUGAGGCUUAGGAAAUAUAAAUCACAUUUCAAAUGCAAAACUUUAUAUCUACCAAGUUGAUUGAUUGAUUGUUUUCAUUGUAUAGCAAAAAAAUACAAUAAGAGUCAAUGACAGAAAUGAUUCUUACACAUUAGUCACAAACAGCUACAAAUAAGAGUCAAGAGAAUAUCAUGCUACUGUACAUUCAAGCAAGUGCACAUCAUCACAAUGCAGAUCUAAGCAAGCAGUGAGUCAUGGAACACAAGCAAACACAGAUCGAAUUACAUGCUUAGGCAAACAGUUUAAGGGUGUCCAUAUCAUACUGCAAGUUACUGCCUUAAAACUAUGAUGCUCUGCCAUACUAUCACAAGAGGAGGUAAGUAAAAAUGUCAAUAUUUAUGGUAAAUUACACAAGAAUUAGCUCGCCUAAAUUUUUUUCACACUAAAUCAAGAGAAUGGGUCAAAAUUAUGUAUUGUGCGUAUUGUGUAUUGGGAUGUUUUUUGUUUCCAGACAAGAAUGGAAAAUCGUAUACGUCAACAAAAGCAAAAUAUAUGUCAACAAAUACAUACAGAUUAUACUGUAGAAUGUAUCAGAGUAUUACGAGCAGUGUGUAUUGUGUUGACCAAAAUUUAAACAUACCUUACUUUUUUUUAUUUCCAGAGAAGAAGGAAAACAGCGCACAUCAACAAAAACAUGAAGAUUAUACUGAGGGAUGUAUCAAAAUUUCACAAGUAUAGUAUAUAUUAUGUCUUGGCAACAAAUAAAGUCAUACCUCAUCUUUUUCAUACAUUUCCAGAUAAGAGAUAUAGAUAAAAUAAAAUAAAGCAAAUUAAAUAAAAAUAAAUACCCAAAUCUGAUCAUACCUCAACAAAUUUUUUUAUACACCUCCAGAUAAGAAGCAAAAACAAAAGUGAAAAAAGGUAAAUAAAUAAACAAAUGAAAAGUAAAAACAAUAAUAAAACCACCAACAAAAAAAUGAAGAAUAUAAUGCACAGGUCUUGAAGGGGUGGGGCCGAGUGAGUCACCUUGCCGGGCCUGGGAGGGAAAAAACUGGGAGAUGCUACAGUGGAGGCCUUGAGGGGUGCCAGGUGAGGGUGACUAACGCUGGGCAGGUGAACGCCAAGCACCUGGUUUGCCGAGAUCCCCAAAAGUUGUUCCAAGUUCUCAGUGAGUCAAUUUUUACCUUUCACAAGAGAUUAUUUUUACACCUAGUUAAAUUAUCAAGGGUAGAGAAAUAUUCCAUCAUCCAUGCGUUUUUUUUCCUGCAAUUUAAAUUUUAGUGGACUUUUUUAUUACAAUUUCUUGCCUUCUGGAACUUAGAAUGCUAUUUUUGGGGGGAUUAUAAGUUCCUGUUUGCCCUUUUAUUAACUUUUUUUGACCAGUGGAAUUCCGGUUACUAGGCCGUUUCUGUAUAUUUUUUCUUAUAUAAGUACUACCGUUACCGUUUACCGUUGAUGAGGUCUCAGGCCCCCGUUUCAGGGCCCGCUAACAGGAAUUGCAUGUAUAAAUUUGCAAAUAUGCCCUAGACAAACCCACCUUUCAUUAACCUGCAAAUCAAUCCUUCUCUCCCAGCAAACUCGCUUCAGUGACCAAUUAUCAAGAGUGCUCAUCAUGAACAUACUAUUUCAACAUGCAACUGACUAAAUGGAGACAUCAAGCUUCUAAAUGCAAUAACGCUAUACGUAUAUGUUUUAUUAUACAAGGAUAGGGAGACUAAUAUAAUGCUGAUGUAAAUCUGUCGAUGUAUGUGUGAAUGUAUGCAGGUGUGUAUGUAUGAAUGUGUCUUUCGGUCUGUGUAUGAAUUAGAUCUUUGUCAGGUGUAUCUAUCUGUGUGUGUAUGAAGGAGAUCUGUCAGGUGUGUGUAUAUAAAUGUGUGUGUGUGUGUGUGUGUGUGUGUGUGUGAAUCAAAGCUGUCAGGUGUGUAUAUAUAUGUGCGUAUGUAUAUGUGUAUGAAUUAAUGCUGUCAGGUGUGUAUGUAUGUAUGUGGGUAUGAAUUAAAGCUGCCAGGUGUGUGUGUGUGUGUGUGUGUGUGUGUGUGU
Eriocheir sinensis (Chinese mitten crab) is the source of this 2160-nucleotide long non-coding RNA. RefSeq lists it as uncharacterized. The transcript has 2 exons. NCBI's taxonomy places the organism in Eukaryota, Metazoa, Arthropoda, Malacostraca, Decapoda, Varunidae. The record is from RefSeq and is a predicted model, not a curated record.